UGUGACUGGAGGUCAGAGGACUGUUCUUCGGUCAAGGGUAUACAAGUAGCUGCGCUCCCCUGCUAGAAACUCCAAACGAGCUCUCAAGGUCCAUUUGUAGGAGAACGUAGGGAAGUCAAGCUUCCAAGACUCCAGACACGUCCAAAUGAGGUGCUGCAUGUGGCAGUCUGCCUUUCUUUAAAAAAAAA
Molecule: long non-coding RNA, 188 nt
Organism: Leopardus geoffroyi (Geoffroy's cat)
Lineage: Eukaryota; Metazoa; Chordata; Mammalia; Carnivora; Felidae
Exons: 3
Source: RefSeq, a predicted model, not a curated record